This 253-nucleotide ribosomal RNA is filed under the name uncultured bacterium. RNAcentral describes it as "partial 16S ribosomal RNA". It matches the Rfam family "Bacterial small subunit ribosomal RNA", at positions 524 to 776 of the family's 1533-position model. The record is from RNAcentral.
UACGUAGGUGGCAAGCGUUGUCCGGAUUUAUUGGGUUUAAAGGGUGCGUAGGCGGCCUAUUAAGUCAGUGGUGAAAUAUCUCAGCUCAACUGAGAGUGUGCCAAUGAUACUGAUGGGCUUGAGUACAGAUGAGGUAGGCGGAAUUGACGGUGUAGCGGUGAAAUGCUUAGAUAUCGUCAAGAACACCUAUAGCGAAGGCAGCUUACUAGGCUGUAACUGACGCUGAGGCACGAAAGUGUGGGGAUCAAACAGG